CUGACAGCAAGCUUUCUAACUCAGAAUGAUUCAUGUAAGACACCUGAAAGGCAAGCUCUGCACCAGCAUCACUGCAAGAAAGAUUGAACAAUGCAGCAAUCAAGCCUGAUAAGCCACCUGGAAGUUUUGCUUGAGACGAUUUCUAAUGGGUUUUCUGAUCCCUCUGAGCAUCAUGACUGCCUUUAGCAUUGUGGAGGAGGACUCGAGUUUCUUAUGAGGGCCCCACUUGGAAAAGCAGGCUGUGCAGAUUCAAGCCUCCGGUUCUGUUCAUGCUGUUCAAAAGCCUUUCCUCACCCUUGCUGAUUUGUUUUUAUGAUUUACAUACACUCCUGUGGAGAUUUACAGAAUGGAUUGUCUGUGCAUUGUCACGACCAAGGUUUUGUGAAGGACCAAGAAUCAUCAAAGGUGGGGAGAUGAACUACAUUCCUGUGUUGGUUUGGUGGAGGAUGGAAAAAAGCCCUUCCUAUGGUGUAUGUUUAUUUUAUUUAUUUAUUUCACUUAUUUCUUUCUCCUCAGACUUAGAUUAAAAGAAAUAAAAAUCCACAGCUCUAUCA
RNAcentral lists this long non-coding RNA (554 nucleotides) under Anser brachyrhynchus (Pink-footed goose). RNAcentral describes it as "lncRNA (ENSABRG00000005322.1)". Lineage: Eukaryota; Metazoa; Chordata; Aves; Anseriformes; Anatidae. The record is from RNAcentral.